This 230-nucleotide unclassified non-coding RNA is filed under the name uncultured Orbiliales. RNAcentral's name for it is "sequence contains ITS1". Lineage: Eukaryota; Fungi; Ascomycota; Orbiliomycetes; Orbiliales. The record is from RNAcentral.
AAUGUUAGUACCAAAGUCCUGCAAAGGACGGAGGAACUUUUAGCACAGACAGCCCUUGCGGGUCAAUGUGUAUAACCACUUGUUGAAACACUUUGAUAGCUGUUUUGGCUGCACUCUCCGUUGCGUCAGCGGCGGAGGGAUAAGACAGCCGGCAGUCUUUAACCAAACUAGUUGAUGAAAUGUCAUGCUGUCUGAUACUGUUUAGUAUUUGAGAAAUCGAAUAACUAUUA